UAAAGAAAAACUAUCACAGCUAAGUAGACUUUACAAGUUAACGAGUUAUAUCUGUUUUUCGAGGUU
Long non-coding RNA from Maniola jurtina (meadow brown), 66 nucleotides. RefSeq lists it as uncharacterized. NCBI's taxonomy places the organism in Eukaryota, Metazoa, Arthropoda, Insecta, Lepidoptera, Nymphalidae. The record is from RefSeq and is a predicted model, not a curated record. The transcript has 3 exons.